GAUGAACGCUAGCGGCGUGCCUAAUGCAUGCAAGUCGAACGGGAUCCUUUGGACUCGUCUGAAGGUGAGAGUGGCGAACGGGUGAGUAACACGUUGGUGACCUACCCCAGAGAGGGGGAUAACCAUUGGAAACGAUGGCUAAUACCCCAGAUGUCAUUGCUGUUAGAGGGCAAUGACUAAAGCUCCGGCGCUCUGGGAGGGGCCUGCGGCCCAUCAGCUAGUUGGUAGGGUAAUGGCCUACCAAGGCAAGACGGGUAGGGGGCGUGAGAGCGUGACCCCCCACACUGGUACUGACACACGGACCAGAUACCUACGGGUAGCAGCAGCAAGGAAUAUUGCCCAAUGGACGCAAGUCUGAGGCAGCAACGCCGCGUGGAGGAUGAAGGCCUUCGGGUUGUAAACUCCUUUUCUGGGGGAAGAGAAAGGACGGUACCCCAGGAAUAAGUCUCGGCUAACUACGUG
Molecule: ribosomal RNA, 462 nt
Filed under: uncultured bacterium
Lineage: Bacteria
Description: bacterial SSU rRNA
Rfam family: Bacterial small subunit ribosomal RNA
Source: RNAcentral